AUGUCGUUGGACGUCGUCGGUCUGGCGGAGAGCAUGUCCGCGGUCGAUCUGGAGGUCGUGUUCGGCUCCAUCGGCCGCGUCACCGGCUCCGAGUUCAUGCGCACUAGCGGCCGCAGCUUCGUCUACAUUGCCACUGCCCCUCCCACAAGGUCAUGA
RNAcentral lists this ribosomal RNA (156 nucleotides) under Triticum aestivum (bread wheat). Its description in RNAcentral is "partial small subunit ribosomal RNA". The record is from RNAcentral. Lineage: Eukaryota; Viridiplantae; Streptophyta; Magnoliopsida; Poales; Poaceae.